Molecule: long non-coding RNA, 1054 nt
Organism: Grammomys surdaster
Lineage: Eukaryota; Metazoa; Chordata; Mammalia; Rodentia; Muridae
Exons: 3
Source: RefSeq, a predicted model, not a curated record
UUUGACGGUUUGCUUCCUGUUCCCGACAGAUCUGCAGAUCCUCUGUACUAAAGCUGCAAAAAACGCAGAGGUGUGGGUGUCCCUGAUACACUACCAGAUCAGACACACUACCAGAUCAGAUGCACCCAGCCAGCUAGUGAGGAAAAAAAAAUCCAGGCACAAAAACCCCUUCCGUUCUUUGGUACUAAUUGUCGAUUUGGGAAUACGUGCAGGUUCCCAGGCUUCCUGUCGCUUCCAUAUCACUUUCUGAGCAUUACAAUUUUCAUGGGAGUUUGGAAGCUGAAUGUCAUUCAGUGACAGUACACUGCGUAGUAUGUGUUCAAGCCCAAUUCUACUAAUGAAAGGGUCUUGGGUUUGAAUCCUGCCUCUCCAGUUGGUGAUGAUGUUCGGGAAGAUAUACGGUCACACAGUCACAUAACCAGCACCAGCACCUAGGUGCAGACAUUUCUCAUCUGGCACAACUGAAACUCUGAUUUAUUGAACACCAGAUCCCUGCUCCACCCUGUUCCCAGCCCUGCCAGCUUCUAUUCUGCAUCCUGUGCCUAUGGACUCCACAACUCUAAGUCCCUCAUGGGAGUGGUCUCCUGAAAAAUCUCUGUUGUUUUGAAACUAGCUUAUUUCACGCCCCAUCAUAUCCUAGACAUUCACCUAUGCCAUCGAAUGCCUCAGAAUUUCCUUCUUUUGUAAAGAGGCUUACUCUAGCUCAAUGCAGCCCCAUGGUCUUGAUGAGCAGUAAGCCCAUUCUGCUCAGCAGCUGUUAAACCUGGGCAAGCAUAUUCAGACUUGGAUAAGUCUUUGUAUUCCAAAUUUGUAUCCUGAGGGGCUGAGAAUCCCACUGUGGCUUUUUGUUGUGCUUUGUUUUUAAUUACAAACUGAGUGAUUUGGAAAUGCAAAAUGUAAACCUUUCAGAAUGGCAACAGGGUGCCACAAAUGCCAAAUUCCUCCACUGGGAUUUAUCUGGGCACAAAAUUAUUAAAAAUGUAUGCAAUUGCCUCCAAUUUAUGUUCAAUGAAGUGCAUAUGAAGCAGGAAUAAAUUUUGCAUUUUGGCUUGAG